GCCUUCUUAGCUUAGUCGGUAGAGCACCCGCUUAGUAAGCGGGAGGUCGUCGGUUCGACUCCGGCAGAAGGCU
Molecule: transfer RNA, 73 nt
Filed under: Perkinsus olseni
Lineage: Eukaryota; Perkinsozoa; Perkinsida; Perkinsidae
Description: tRNA-Thr
Rfam family: tRNA
About the family: Transfer RNA (tRNA) molecules are approximately 80 nucleotides in length.
Source: RNAcentral